UGAUUGCUUCGACCUUGCUAUCCAGUGGU
RNAcentral lists this small RNA (29 nucleotides) under Bombyx mori (domestic silkworm). Its description in RNAcentral is "ovarian small RNA-8419". Lineage: Eukaryota; Metazoa; Arthropoda; Insecta; Lepidoptera; Bombycidae. The record is from RNAcentral.